UACGUAGGGCGCGAGCGUUGUCCGGAAUUAUUGGGCGUAAAGGGCUCGUAGGCGGUUUGUCGCGUCGGGAGUGAAAACUCAGGGCUUAACCCUGAGCCUGCUUCCGAUACGGGCAGACUAGAGGUAUGCAGGGGAGAACGGAAUUCCUGGUGUAGCGGUGAAAUGCGCAGAUAUCAGGAGGAACACCGGUGGCGAAGGCGGUUCUCUGGGCAUUACCUGACGCUGAGGAGCGAAAGUGUGGGGAGCGAACAGG
This 253-nucleotide ribosomal RNA is filed under the name uncultured bacterium. RNAcentral's name for it is "partial 16S ribosomal RNA". It matches the Rfam family "Bacterial small subunit ribosomal RNA", at positions 524 to 776 of the family's 1533-position model. The record is from RNAcentral.